CAAUAGCGUAUAUUAAAGUUGUUGCAGUUAAAAAGCUCGUAGUUGGAUUUCUGAAGGUGGUUGGAUUGGUGUGACCUCGCGUUGCCUCAACCAUACUAUUUUCAACAUAUGCGAUGAAUUGGUGUGGUUAAUUAAGUUUGAUCCGCCAUUAAAUCGCUCGUUUACUUUGAGAAAAUUAGAGUGUUCAAAGCAGGCAUAACGCCUUGAAUAUGUUAGCAUGGAAUAAUAGCAUAGGACUUUGGUUCUAUUUGUUGGUUGUUCGAGAACUGGAGUAAUGAUUGAUAGGGACGGUUGGGGGCAUCCGUAUUCUCAAGCGAGAGGUGAAAUUCUUGGACCUUGGGAAGACGAACAGCUGCGAAAGCGUUUGCCUAGGACGUUCUCUUUAA
Molecule: ribosomal RNA, 386 nt
Filed under: uncultured eukaryote
Lineage: Eukaryota
Description: partial 18S ribosomal RNA
Rfam family: Eukaryotic small subunit ribosomal RNA
Source: RNAcentral